GAUGAAGAACGUAGCGAAAUGCGAUAAGUAAUGUGAAUUGCAGAAUUCAGUGAAUCAUCGAAUCUUUGAACGCACAUUGCGCCCCCUGGUAUUCCGGGGGGCAUGCCUGUUCGAGCGUCAUUUCACCACUCAAGCCUCGCUUGGUAUUGGGCAACGCGGUCCGCCGCGUGCCUCAAAUCGACCGGCUGGGUCUUCUGUCCCCUAAGCGUUGUGGAAACUAUUCGCUAAAGGGUGUUCGGGAGGCUACGCCGUAAAACAACCCCAUUUCUAAGGUUGACCUCGGAUCAGGUAGGGAUACCCGCUGAACUUAAGCAUAUCAAUAAGCGAGG
RNAcentral lists this unclassified non-coding RNA (329 nucleotides) under soil metagenome. RNAcentral describes it as "partial contains 5.8S ribosomal RNA, internal transcribed spacer 2, and large subunit ribosomal RNA". The stretch from base 1 to 120 matches the Rfam family "5.8S ribosomal RNA", at positions 35 to 154 of the family's 154-position model. The record is from RNAcentral.